CCUCUGGGUCCAACCUCCCACCCGUGUUUAUUUACCUUGUUGCUUCGGCGGGCCCGCCUUAACUGGCCGCCGGGGGGCUCACGCCCCCGGGCCCGCGCCCGCCGAAGACACCCUCGAACUCUGUCUGAAGAUUGAAGUCUGAGUGAAAAUAUAAAUUAUUUAAAACUUUCAACAACGGAUCUCUUGGUUCCGGCAUCGAUGAAGAACGCAGCGAAAUGCGAUACGUAAUGUGAAUUGCAAAUUCAGUGAAUCAUCGAGUCUUUGAACGCACAUUGCGCCCCCUGGUAUUCCGGGGGGCAUGCCUGUCCGAGCGUCAUUGCUGCCCUCAAGCCCGGCUUGUGUGUUGGGCCCCGUCCUCCGAUUCCGGGGGACGGGCCCGAAAGGCAGCGGCGGCACCGCGUCCGGUCCUCGAGCGUAUGGGGCUUUGUCACCCGCUCUGUAGGCCCGGCCGGCGCUUGCCGAUCAACCCAAAUUUUUAUCCAGGUUGACCUCGGAUCAGG
This 500-nucleotide ribosomal RNA is filed under the name Penicillium commune. RNAcentral's name for it is "eukaryotic LSU rRNA". The stretch from base 164 to 316 matches the Rfam family "5.8S ribosomal RNA". The record is from RNAcentral. Lineage: Eukaryota; Fungi; Ascomycota; Eurotiomycetes; Eurotiales; Aspergillaceae.